This 763-nucleotide ribosomal RNA is filed under the name uncultured archaeon. RNAcentral's name for it is "bacterial SSU rRNA". It matches the Rfam family "Archaeal small subunit ribosomal RNA", at positions 21 to 785 of the family's 1478-position model. The record is from RNAcentral.
GGUUACUGCUAUCGGUGUUCGCCUAAGCCAUGCGAGUCAUAUGUUCGUAAGAACAUGGCGUACUGCUCAGUAACACGUGGAUAACCUGCCCUUGGGUCCGGCAUAACCCCGGGAAACUGGGGAUAAUUCCGGAUAACGCACAUAUGCUGGAAUGCUUUAUGCGUCAAAUGGAUUCGUCCGCCCAAGGAUGGGUCUGCGGCCUAUCAGGUAGUAGUGGGUGUAAUGUACCUACCAGCCUACGACGGGUACGGGUUGUGAGAGCAAGAGCCCGGAGAUGGAUUCUGAGACAUGAAUCCAGGCCCUACGGGGCGCAGCAGGCGCGAAAACUUUACAAUGCGGGAAACCGUGAUAAGGGGACACCGAGUGCCAGCAUCAUAUGCUGGCUGUCCGGGUGUGUAAAAUACACCUGUUAGCAAGGGCCGGGCAAGACCGGUGCCAGCCGCCGCGGUAACACCGGCGGCCCGAGUGGUGAUCGUGAUUAUUGGGUCUAAAGGGUCCGUAGCCGGUUUGGUCAGUCCUCCGGGAAAUCUGACGGCUUAACCGUUAGGCUUUCGGGGGAUACUGCCAGACUUGGAACCGGGAGAGGUAAGAGGUACUACAGGGGUAGGAGUGAAAUCUUGUAAUCCCUGUGGGACCACCUGUGGCGAAGGCGUCUUACCAGAACGGGUUCGACGGUGAGGGACGAAAGCUGGGGGCACGAACCGGAUUAGAUACCCGGGUAGUCCCAGCCGUAAACGAUGCUCGCUAGGUGUCAGGCAUGGCG